Molecule: long non-coding RNA, 1799 nt
Organism: Solanum pennellii
Lineage: Eukaryota; Viridiplantae; Streptophyta; Magnoliopsida; Solanales; Solanaceae
Exons: 2
Source: RefSeq, a predicted model, not a curated record
AUAGCUCUGUUUUCCUUUGAUUGCAUGUUCUGGAAGAUACUCAUCUAGUGUCCCCCUAGUUUCCCAUCUUGAUCCACAUGCAUUGCAGAGCACCGGUUUUGCAGUUGGCCCAGGUCUCCAUAGGGGGGUUUCUGUUUGAGUUCACAAUUAAUUAGCAUUUAAAUGGGACAAAAUAGGAAUAAAAUCUUACAGGUAACUUGUCUCAGAAACUAAAGACCAAUGAUCAUUGACAAUUAAGAUUUUCUGUAAAAGGUUUAGGAUGUACUGCACGAGAUUAAAAGCGUCACGAAACUAGAGUACAUAAAGCGGGGAAUAUCUUUGGCGAAACAACAGUAAAUAUCUUUCUGUGAAACAUAUAUAGACUUUAAGGAUGUGUCAACUGCUUUUAUACACACAUUUUCAUCUCCACUUUAUGGUGGAAAGAUUGAAAAGGAUUUGGAUGAUGUGUUAAGGAACCAUGCAAAAUAGUUAACCUCUUGGCAGACUGCAUUUAUAUUGGCGAGGAAGGGUACCAAGGGAACUCCUAGGUUGAGAGUUCUGUCUUGGAACAUAGGGACAUUGGCGAGGAAGUCAAUAGAAUUGGCGAUUAUUCUUAAGAGAAGGAAGAUCUAUAUACCUUGUGUUUAGGAUACCUUAUGGGUAAGAACUAAGACUAGGUAUAUAGGCGGGUUCAAGUUAAGGUACUCAAGAAGUUUAAGGAGUAGGAAUGGAGUAGGAUUUUAGUCUAUGUUGCUCAGAUUUUUCAAAAAUGUCAACAGGUUCAUGUCAGAUGCUCCAAAAGUGGUGCAUUUUGGAGAAUUCGACACGGGUGCGGCAACAAUUUCAGAGAGUCCAAGCACAUAGAUUUUAGAGGUGGGAAUCUUAUGUAUCCUAUAAAUGAAGUCACCAGCAUGAACUGGCUAGCUGCUAUACAUGAUGGAGAAGUUGGCAGUCUGCCAACAAUUUACUUGGGACUACCUCUGGGGGCUAAAUUUAAAUCUAUAAAAAUUUGGGAUAGUGUGAUAGAGACGUGUAAAAAAAUGGGUAGCCAGGUAGAAAACUUACUCUUCUUACAAGGAAAACUAACUCUCAUUAAUUCAGUCCUUGAUGCUUUCCCAACAUUUAUGAUUCCUUUAUUUCCCAUCCUACCAGGGAUUAUCAAAAGGUUGGAUAACAUUAGGAGAAAGUUUUUGUGGCAGGGAAACAAAGAAAAGGAAGGGUACCAAUGACAAAAAAUCUGAAAUUUCAAAGCAAAGCUCUAAGAAUGGAGUGGUUAUGGAGAUAUGCCAAUGACAAACAGUUGUUGUAGAGCAGGGUCGUUGGUGCCAAAUAUGAAGAGGAAAACAGCAGGUCUAAAAUGUGCAUCUAUGCUAGGGAUUGGGAACCAAAUCUACAAUUUAUCCAAGAUGUCCUCAGUUCCUGUAUUGAAAAUUAAUUAACAUUUGGCUCGAGAGAUAAUCUAUUACGGUCUUGGCAACCUUUUUAUUGUUUAAUGGACUCAGAUAUGGAUGUUUCCUUUUCCAGGCGAGUCCUGCUACUGAGAUGCAGCAGCAGGACUUAUUUUUUCUAUCUUACUAUGCUUGCACAUUUAUCUGUCGCUAUUGACAGAAUUUCGUGUAUCUAAACAGAUGUAUUUUUCUUUAUGUCAUUCUUACUGACUUUCAAUUAACAACCACUAUCAUGCCUCACGUCAAGCUAGUUGGGGCGACUCUAUGAAUCUUCAUUAUCUUUUUUCAUUUAAGAUCAUGCUUAGUGAUGUAAAAGUACUUAUUUUGUUUUCAAGAUUACUAAUAUAUUGCACAUGCAUAAUAUUUAUGGAA